GUCCCUGUAGCGCAAUGGAUAGUGCUUUGGAUUUCAAAUCCAAAGGUUCAAAUCCUUUCUGGGAUG
Molecule: non-coding RNA, 66 nt
Organism: Trichonephila clavipes
Lineage: Eukaryota; Metazoa; Arthropoda; Arachnida; Araneae; Nephilidae
Source: the annotation of a GenBank genome assembly